GUCGGGGGGCUGACACGGGGUAACGCGACACCCCCCCCACCCCCCAAAACAGCCGCGCGAGUCUGGGGUUGCACGUGCGCGCAGGCACCCACGGUCCCAACCUGGAAUUUGAACUCCUCUUCAGUGCCUCUCCCUCCCUCUCGGAAGAAGAGGAGGGUGGAAGAUCUUGGGAUCUUCUGAUUUCCAUCGAUCCAAGCUGACUGAUUGAGCAUUGGUGUCGUAUCAUGCCUGUGUGCUCCCUGAUAAAUGAUUUCAAUCUGAAAAAAAUCUCGCUUUUUUGCCAUCUGCAUGCAAAAUCUUCAGGAAAAAUUCCAUGAUCUGGAGUGAUUUGGUCCGAUGCCACAGGAACGGUCUGCUCUGCACACCUUAGGAAGUGCAAAAAGGGAAAAGACAAGAAGAUAGAGCCCUCCAUGCUGCGGCCCCUGGGUGCUGCCCGAUCACUCAGUCACAUCAAGGCUGGCUGCCUCCCGUGCCAACAUCAGGACGUGACAGAUGUCCUUAACCUUUACAGGUGCAGGGCCUGCAUUUCUUCAGUCUUUUUUCAUUGGAUGACUCCAAGCAUGGAUUAUCAGCAGCUCAGAUUUCUUUGGCCAAAGUGCUUUGUUGCCUAUACAUCCAGGUUAAAUCUAAGCAAUACUUCUGAUCCAUGUAGGCUUUUGACUUGGUUCUGCAUCUUUGGCGUUUACAAAAUGAUCAGCGUUUGACCUCCCCCUUUUCUAUUUCUUAAACAUCAGCAGAAAAUUCUAUUUUAAUAAAACAAUGCAUCCUCCCCCUGCAAUGUUUGUAUCCAAGAAACUGCAGCAUUACAAGAGUGUGAGAAAAUAUUGCUGAUUAAAAUCAGGGUAAGAAAUGACAGUGAAA
Long non-coding RNA from Tyto alba (common barn owl), 861 nucleotides. RefSeq lists it as uncharacterized. Lineage: Eukaryota; Metazoa; Chordata; Aves; Strigiformes; Tytonidae. The record is from RefSeq and is a predicted model, not a curated record. The transcript has 3 exons.